AUUGGGAGCGCCGCAAGGAGCCCAGAGACAGGUGCUGCAUGGCUGUCGUCAGCUCGUGUCGUGAGAUGUUGGGUUAAGUCCCGCAACGAGCGCAACCCUUGUCCUUAGUUGCCAGCAUUCAGUUGGGCACUCUAAGGAGACCGCCGGUGACAAACCGGAGGAAGGUGGGGAUGACGUCAAGUCAUCAUGGCCUUUAUGACCAGGGCUGCACACGUGUUACAAUGCGCGCUACAAAGCGUCGCGAACCCGCGAGGGGGAGCUAAUCGCAAAAAAGCGCGCUCAGUUCGGAUUGCAGUCUGCAACUCGACUGCAUGAAGCCGGAAUCGCUAGUAAUGGCGCAUCAGAACGGCGCCGUGAAUACGUUCCCGGGCCUUGUACACACCGCCCGUCACAUCACGAAAGUGGGCUGUACUAGAAAUCGCCAAGCUAACCGCAAGGAGGCAGGCGCUCAAGGUAUGGCUCAUGAUUGGGGUGAAGUCGUAACAAGGUAGCCGUAA
Molecule: ribosomal RNA, 497 nt
Filed under: uncultured Acidobacteriota bacterium
Lineage: Bacteria; Pseudomonadati; Acidobacteriota
Description: bacterial SSU rRNA
Rfam family: Bacterial small subunit ribosomal RNA
Source: RNAcentral